CGGUGUAACAGGAAGUGCCUGGCACAGCUUUUCCACUCGCAGAAUUAGCCACCGACUUCACCCAGGCAAACUUUACUCUAAGGAGCAUUUGUUCAGCCCCUCUGUGAUCAAUCCUCCGGCCAGAGAAUUGGCUGCAUCCGAGACCCCAGCGCCGAUCUACUGCUUCCCCAUCACCAUGGAGGCUUCUCUUGCUGUCUGCAUCCUCGCUGCUCUCCUGGCUACGGGGACCUGUCUGCAGUGUGAGGUUUGCACUGGAGCAGGAAACAACUGCACGGGCAGCAUGCAGACCUGCCCCACUGGGCAAGACUCUUG
Mauremys mutica (yellowpond turtle) is the source of this 312-nucleotide long non-coding RNA. RefSeq lists it as uncharacterized. The record is from RefSeq and is a predicted model, not a curated record. The transcript has 3 exons. NCBI's taxonomy places the organism in Eukaryota, Metazoa, Chordata, Testudines, Geoemydidae.